UUUAAAUUUAGUAGCACAUAUACCAGUAAGAAAUAUAGGAUCAGUAGCUGGUAAUUUGAUGCUCAAACAUAGAGAACUGACGUUUUCAUCGGAUGUAUUUUUGUUACUUGAAACGAUAGGUGCAACUCUAACAAUUGUUUCUGCUAUAUCAAUAGAUGAAGUAACACCAGAGACUUUUCUAAAAAUGGAUAUGACUGGUAGAAUAAUCACACAGAUCAAAAUACCUCCACUGUCUCACAAUUAUGAGUUUGUUUCUUUUAAGGUUAUGCCUCGAUCUCAAAAUGCUCAUGCUCAAGUCAACGCAGCUUUUCUUUACGAACUAGAAGUGG
Molecule: long non-coding RNA, 329 nt
Organism: Papilio machaon (common yellow swallowtail)
Lineage: Eukaryota; Metazoa; Arthropoda; Insecta; Lepidoptera; Papilionidae
Exons: 4
Source: RefSeq, a predicted model, not a curated record